RNAcentral lists this transfer RNA (65 nucleotides) under Cicadetta abscondita. RNAcentral describes it as "tRNA-Met". Lineage: Eukaryota; Metazoa; Arthropoda; Insecta; Hemiptera; Cicadidae. The record is from RNAcentral.
UAAAAGAUAAGCUAAAAUAAAGCUAAUGGGUUCAUACCUCAUUUAUGGAAAAGUUCCUCUUUUUA